AGUGAACGCUGGCGGCAUGCCUAACACAUGCAAGUCGAACGGCAGCACAGUAAGAGCUCGCUUUUACUGGUGGCGAGUGACGGAUGGGUGAGGAAUACAUCGGAAUCUACUAUUUCUUGGAGGAUAACGUAAGAAAGCAUCCGAUAUUAGCUAAUAUUCUGUACGGCUUAAUGCAGCGGUCCAUGGGACUCUCCGUGAUUCAUUUAGCUGGUUCCGGAUUAGCUAGUUGGCGGGGUAAAGGCCCACCAAGGCGACGAUCCGUAGCUGGUCUGAGAGGAUGAUCAGCCACACUGGAACUGAGACACGGUCCAGACUCCUACGGGAGGCAGCAGUGGGGAAUAUUGGACAAUGGGCGCAAGCCUGAUCCAGCCAUGCCGCGUGAGUGAAGAAGGCCUUCGGGUUGUAAAGCACUUUUGUUAGGGAAGAAAAGAAGCAGGUUAAUACCUCGAUGUUCUGACGGUACCUAAAGAAUAAGCACCGGCUAACUACGUG
RNAcentral lists this ribosomal RNA (492 nucleotides) under uncultured bacterium. Its description in RNAcentral is "partial 16S ribosomal RNA". It matches the Rfam family "Bacterial small subunit ribosomal RNA", at positions 29 to 507 of the family's 1533-position model. The record is from RNAcentral.